This 253-nucleotide ribosomal RNA is filed under the name uncultured bacterium. RNAcentral's name for it is "partial 16S ribosomal RNA". It matches the Rfam family "Bacterial small subunit ribosomal RNA", at positions 524 to 776 of the family's 1533-position model. The record is from RNAcentral.
UACGUAGGGGCCAAGCGUUAUCCGGAUUUACUGGGCGUAAAGCGCAUGUAGGUGGUCUGCUAGGUCGGACGUGAAAGCUCCUGGCUCAACUGGGAGAGGUCGUUCGAAACCAGUAGACUAGAGGAUGGUAGAGGAGAGCGGAAUUCCAGGUGUAGCGGUGAAAUGCGUAGAUAUCUGGAGGAACACCAGUGGCGAAAGCGGCUCUCUGGCCCAUUCCUGACACUGAGAUGCGAAAGCCAGGGGAGAGAACGGG